RNAcentral lists this transfer RNA (69 nucleotides) under Apteronotus rostratus. RNAcentral's name for it is "tRNA-Phe". It matches the Rfam family "tRNA". Rfam says of the family: Transfer RNA (tRNA) molecules are approximately 80 nucleotides in length. Their secondary structure includes four short double-helical elements and three loops (D, anti-codon, and T loops). Lineage: Eukaryota; Metazoa; Chordata; Actinopteri; Gymnotiformes; Apteronotidae. The record is from RNAcentral.
GCUAAUGUAGCUUAAUGCAAAGCAUAACACUGAAGAUGUUAAAAUGGACCCUAAAAAGUUCCGUCAGCA